CCUACGGGAGGCAGCAGUGGGGAAUCUUGCGCAAUGGGCGGAAGCCUGACGCAGCGACGCCGCGUGCGGGACGAAGGCCUUCGGGUCGUAAACCGCUUUCAGCAGGGACGAGGCCCUCACGGUGACGGUACCUGCAGAAGAAGCCCCGGCUAACUACGUGCCAGCAGCCGCGGUAAUACGUAGGGGGCGAGCGUUAUCCGGAUUUAUUGGGUUUAAAGGGUGCGUAGGCGGAUUUUUAAGUCAGCGGUAAAAUGUCGGGGCUCAACCCGGGCCGGCCGUUGAAACUGGGGAUCUUGAGUGGGCGAGAAGUAUGCGGAAUGCGUGGAGUAGCGGUGAAAUGCAUAGAUAUCACGUAGAACUCCGAUUGCGAAGGCAGCAUACCGGCGCCCGACUGACGCUGAGGCACGAAAGCGUGGGGAUCGAACAGGAUUAGAUACCCCUGUAGUC
This 447-nucleotide ribosomal RNA is filed under the name uncultured bacterium. RNAcentral's name for it is "partial 16S ribosomal RNA". It matches the Rfam family "Bacterial small subunit ribosomal RNA", at positions 338 to 795 of the family's 1533-position model. The record is from RNAcentral.